This is a long non-coding RNA of Mercenaria mercenaria, 1369 nucleotides long. RefSeq lists it as uncharacterized. The record is from RefSeq and is a predicted model, not a curated record. The transcript is spliced from 2 exons. NCBI's taxonomy places the organism in Eukaryota, Metazoa, Mollusca, Bivalvia, Venerida, Veneridae.
AGACGCUCGGAUAUUCAGUGUUGGUUUUCCCGCCGUUUUUAUUGAUUAUGGCAAAACAUGUUGUUUUUUACAUUAACUGUUGAAUAUUUUUCAACAACCGGGAAGAAAAAAUAAGUCUAGUAUCUAGGUCAAGCUAUCGGUUCGCCCAGCUGAAAUAAAUAUUGCAACUAAUUAGAAGAACUUGAGCUUGCAACUCCAAUACUUAAAACAAAUGUUUACGGAGUUCGUUUUACACAGAAAGGUGAAAUGUUUUGAAUCUUUGAGAUGAUCGAGUCGCGGGUCACCUGGGUAUGCAUGUGAUUAUAACAGGCGGUGAAAAUUUUUAUUAUAUUAAUAUAAAAUUUCUAAUAAUAGGCCUAUUUAUAUAUACUAAAAAUAACACUCCUUUCCGAUAAGCCUAUGUAUACAUGUUAUUUAUACUUGUAUAUGCACGUAAGUCAACAUUAAUUAACAAGCCCAAUUCCCAAACAGGUAGAUACAGCAAUACCUGGAAAUCUUGAUAGUUUCGUAUAAUCUUUGUAUUGUUAUUGUACCUGUUGCACCAAUGAAAUGCAAGAAAAAUGUGGCCAUGAUAUGCAAACCAAUCGGCAAUCGUUGCACAUUAUGGAACCAAGGUCCAAAGAGUUUCGAAUUAACGUUAGCAACAAAUUUUGAAUAUCAGUCAGUUUUACUAUUGCUUCUAAAAUAGGAUACAAAAAAGAAAUGUAUAAAAGCUCACUGAAACGACGAAAUAAAGAUUACAACAAAGAUGCUUGCAGUUUUAUUGGACAACAACGUAUUUGGAAUACCUUUGCACUACUUUGCACAGCGGAGAGAUACAAUGCACUACUUUCCUAUUUGGAAGGACGUCAUUACAGAACUGAAGAGGCUAUACAUGUGACGUACUUCUAUUGUACAGACAAAUUAACAUUGGAUCAUACAUAAUAACAGCAGCUUUAAAAGUGCAUUUCGAAGUUAAAUGUUAAACUUGCGUGGACUUUUUGUGUUCGAAUCCCAGUCAGAAAAUGAGAGAAAACCCUUAAAUGUAUAUAUCAGCAAAAUGUGGCUUAUCUAUCUGACUUUUAACUGAGUUCCAGUUAGUACAAAUAAUAGAAGUAUUUAGGAACAACAUGAUCAAAUUAUAAAAUAAGCCAUUCCGAUAAGACGAAUGGGCUUAGAUUUUAAGAUUUUAGAACCACUGUAGGCAUAAAGACGAACAACAGUAUGGUAUAACUUCACGAGUUUCAUUCCAUCACAAAAAUGGUUGAUUUUGUAAAUUUUACAAAGUGUUAUUAUAUAGAUAUUUAUAUCACGUUGUUUUUUGUUAAAUUCCGGAUUUUACCAGUUUGAUGUUCUCUAGCUUAUUUAGUAAAUUAAAAAAAAUCACUCA